GACGAACGCUGGCGGCGUGCCUAAUACAUGCAAGUUGAGCGCUGAAGGUUGGUACUUGUACCAACUGGAUGAGCAGCGAACGGGUGAGUAACGCGUGGGGAAUCUGCCUUUGAGCGGGGGACAACAUUUGGAAACGAAUGCUAAUACCGCAUAAAAACUUUAAACACAAGUUUUAAGUUUGAAAGAUGCAGUUGCAUCACUCAAAGAUGAUCCCGCGUUGUAUUAGCUAGUUGGUGAGGUAAAGGCUCACCAAGGCGAUGAUACAUAGCCGACCUGAGAGGGUGAUCGGCCACAUUGGGACUGGGACACGGCCCAAACUCCUACGGGAGGCAGCAGGAGGGAAUCCUCGGCAAUGGAGGAAAGUCUGACCGAGCAACGCCGCGUGAGUGAAGAAGGGUUUCGGAUCGUAAAACUCUGUUGGUAGAGAAGAACGUUGGUGAGAGUGGAAAGCUCAUCAAGUGACGGUAACUACCCAGAAAGGGACGGCUAACUACGUG
This 497-nucleotide ribosomal RNA is filed under the name uncultured bacterium. Its description in RNAcentral is "partial 16S ribosomal RNA". It matches the Rfam family "Bacterial small subunit ribosomal RNA", at positions 28 to 507 of the family's 1533-position model. The record is from RNAcentral.